RNAcentral lists this ribosomal RNA (512 nucleotides) under uncultured bacterium. RNAcentral's name for it is "partial 16S ribosomal RNA". It matches the Rfam family "Bacterial small subunit ribosomal RNA", at positions 28 to 523 of the family's 1533-position model. The record is from RNAcentral.
GACGAACGCUGGCGGCGUGCCUAAUACAUGCAAGUCGAGCGAAUUUACGAGAGCUUGCUCUCGUAAAUUAGCGGCGGACGGGUGAGUAACACGUGGGCAACCUGCCUAUAAGACUGGGAUAACUUCGGGAAACCGGAGCUAAUACCGGAUAAUUCACAUCUACUCAUGUAGAUGUGCUGAAAGACGGUUUCGGCUGUCACUUAUAGAUGGGCCCGCGGCGCAUUAGCUAGUUGGUGAGGUAACGGCUCACCAAGGCCACGAUGCGUAGCCGACCUGAGAGGGUGAUCGGCAACACUGGGACUGAGACACGGCCCAGACUCCUACGGGAGGCAGCAGUAGAGAAUCUUCCGCAAUGGACGAAAGUCUGACGGAGCAACGCCGCGUGAGUGAUGAAGGUUUUCGGAUCGUAAAACUCUGUUGUUAGGGAAGAACAAGUACCAGAGUAACUGCUGGUACCUUGACGGUACCUAACCAGAAAGCCACGGCUAACUACGUGCCAGCCGCCGCUGUAA